RNAcentral lists this non-coding RNA (29 nucleotides) under Mus musculus (house mouse). The record is from RNAcentral. Lineage: Eukaryota; Metazoa; Chordata; Mammalia; Rodentia; Muridae.
GAGCAGCCAUCUUGUUAUACCGUCUAUCU